GAUGAACGCUGGCGGCGUGCCUAAUACAUGCAAGUCGAGCGAACAGAUAAGGAGCUUGCUCCUUUGACGUUAGCGGCGGACGGGUGAGUAACACGUGGGUAACCUACCUAUAAGACUGGAAUAACUCCGGGAAACCGGGGCUAAUGCCGGAUAACAUGUUGAACCGCAUGGUUCUACAGUGAAAGGCGGCUUUGCUGUCACUUAUAGAUGGACCCGCGCCGUAUUAGCUAGUUGGUGAGGUAACGGCUCACCAAGGCAACGGUACGUAGCCGACCUGAGAGGGUGAUCGGCCACACUGGAACUGAGACACGGUCCAGACUCCUACGGGAGGCAGCAGUAGGGAAUCUUCCGCAAUGGGCGAAAGCCUGACGGAGCAACGCCGCGUGAGUGAUGAAGGUCUUCGGAUCGUAAAACUCUGUUAUUAGGGAAGAACAAAUGCGUAAGUAACUGUGCGCGUCUUGACGGUACCUAAUCAGAAAGCCACGGCUAACUACGUG
Molecule: ribosomal RNA, 497 nt
Filed under: uncultured bacterium
Lineage: Bacteria
Description: partial 16S ribosomal RNA
Rfam family: Bacterial small subunit ribosomal RNA
Source: RNAcentral